Molecule: non-coding RNA, 239 nt
Organism: Salvelinus sp. IW2-2015
Lineage: Eukaryota; Metazoa; Chordata; Actinopteri; Salmoniformes; Salmonidae
Source: RefSeq, a predicted model, not a curated record
GCACUUGGAGCACCUUCUGUUCUAUGGGGCAGAUACCACUUCUCAGAAUGCCUCAGGGAACACCGCACUUCAUAUUUGUGCCCUGUAUAAUAAGGAAAGCUGUGUUCGUGUUCUGCUCUACAGAGGGGCCAAUAAGGAAAUUAAGAACAAGCAUGGACAAACCCCCUUUCAGGUAGCAGUAAUGUCGGGCCAUUUUGAACUUGGGGAAAUCCUCAAAAACCACAGAGAUGCAGAUGUAG